This is a non-coding RNA of Pelobates cultripes (western spadefoot toad), 243 nucleotides long. The record is from the annotation of a GenBank genome assembly. NCBI's taxonomy places the organism in Eukaryota, Metazoa, Chordata, Amphibia, Anura, Pelobatidae.
AUAAAAACAAAAAUUAGAGCACUUCAUUGCAUAAGCUACGGAUCCUGAAGCUGCAGAGGAUACCAAAGUUUUUAGGAGACAGAAAGGGCUCUAUUACAUGGCAUAUCCAGAUCAAUAGGUGUCCAAUAGAGGUCACCUUUUUACUGAUUUAAUUAUUGACCCUUUUUAUUUUACAUUUGAUUCCUAAUUUGGCAAUUUCUCAGGACUUCACAGUAAUUUCUGAACUAAUUUAACCUCAAUGAU